AAUGAACGCUGGCGGCGUGCUUAACACAUGCAAGUCGGACGAGAAAGGGGACUUCGGUUCCCGAGUAAAGUGGCGCACGGGUGAGUAACGCGUAGGUAACCUACCCCGGAUUUGGGAUAACAGUGGCGAAAGCGCUGCUAAUACCGGAUACGACCUUGGAGGCGGGAGGCUUUGAGGUGAAAGUCGGCCACUCGAAGAAGCUGAUGUUCGGGGAUGGGCCUGCGUCCUAAUCAGCUAGUUGGUAGGGUAACGGCCUACCAAGGCGACGACGGGUAGCUGGUCUGAGAGGAUGAGUCAGCCACACUGGCACUGGAACACGGGCCAGACUCCUACGGGAGGCUG
This 342-nucleotide ribosomal RNA is filed under the name uncultured Pseudomonadota bacterium. RNAcentral's name for it is "bacterial SSU rRNA". It matches the Rfam family "Bacterial small subunit ribosomal RNA", at positions 29 to 351 of the family's 1533-position model. The record is from RNAcentral. Lineage: Bacteria; Pseudomonadati; Pseudomonadota.